UUUCUGAGAAUUUGAUCUUGGUUCAGAUUGAACGCUGGCGGCGUGGAUGAGGCAUGCAAGUCGAACGGAACGGUUUUAUAGCUGUUUAGUGGCGGAAGGGUUAGUAAUGCAUAGAUAAUUUGUCUUUAACUUGGGAAUAACGGUUGGAAACGGCCGCUAAUACCGAAUGUGGCACCAUUUAGGCAUCUAGAUGGUGUUAAAGAAGGGGAUCUUCGGACCUUUCGGUUAAAGGGGAGUCUAUGUGAUAUCAGCUAGUUGGUGGGGUAAAGGCCUACCAAGGCUAUGACGUCUAGGCGGAUUGAGAGAUUGACCGCCAACACUGGGACUGAGACACUGCCCAGACUCCUACGGGAGGCUGCAGUCGAGAAUCUUUCGCAAUGGACGGAAGUCUGACGAAGCGACGCCGCGUGUGUGAUGAAGGCUCUAGGGUUGUAAAGCACUUUCGCUUGGGAAUAAGAGAAGGCGGUUAAUACCCGCCGGAUUUGAGCGUACCAGGUAAAGAAGCACCGGCUAACUCCGUGCCAGCAGCUGCGGUAAUACGGAGGGUGCUAGCGUUAAUCGGAUUUAUUGGGCGUAAAGGGCGUGUAGGCGGAAGAGUAAGUUGGUUGUCAAAUCUCGGGGCUCAACCCCGAAUCGGCAUCUGAUACUAUUUUUCUAGAGGGUAGAUGGAGAAAAGGGAAUUUCACGUGUAGCGGUGAAAUGCGUAGAUAUGUGGAAGAACACCAGUGGCGAAGGCGCUUUUCUAAUUUACACCUGACGCUAAGGCGCGAAAGCAAGGGGAGCAAACAGGAUUAGAUACCCUGGUAGUCCUUGCCGUAAACGAUGCAUACUUGAUGUGGAUGGUCUCAACCCCAUCCGUGUCGGAGCUAACGCGUUAAGUAUGCCGCCUGAGGAGUACACUCGCAAGGGUGAAACUCAAAAGAAUUGACGGGGGCCCGCACAAGCAGUGGAGCAUGUGGUUUAAUUCGAUGCAACGCGAAGGACCUUACCUGGGUUUGACAUGCAUAUGACCGCGGCAGAAAUGUCGUUUUCCGCAAGGACAUAUGCACAGGUGCUGCAUGGCUGUCGUCAGCUCGUGCCGUGAGGUGUUGGGUUAAGUCCCGCAACGAGCGCAACCCUUAUCGUUAGUUGCCAGCACUUAGGGUGGGAACUCUAACGAGACUGCCUGGGUUAACCAGGAGGAAGGCGAGGAUGACGUCAAGUCAGCAUGGCCCUUAUGCCCAGGGCGACACACGUGCUACAAUGGCCAGUACAGAAGGUAGCAAGAUCGUGAGAUGGAGCAAAUCCUUAAAGCUGGCCCCAGUUCGGAUUGUAGUCUGCAACUCGACUACAUGAAGUCGGAAUUGCUAGUAAUGGCGUGUCAGCCAUAACGCCGUGAAUACGUUCCCGGGCCUUGUACACACCGCCCGUCACAUCAUGGGAGUUGGUUUUACCUUAAGUCGUUGACUCAACCCGCAAGGGAGAGAGGCGCCCAAGGUGAGGCUGAUGACUAGGAUGAAGUCGUAACAAGGUAGCCCUACCGGAAGGUGGGGCUGGAUCACCUCCUUU
This 1548-nucleotide ribosomal RNA is filed under the name Chlamydia suis. RNAcentral describes it as "bacterial SSU rRNA". It matches the Rfam family "Bacterial small subunit ribosomal RNA". Lineage: Bacteria; Pseudomonadati; Chlamydiota; Chlamydiia; Chlamydiales; Chlamydiaceae. The record is from RNAcentral.